CUAUACCUGCAGGUACAUGUGCACGGGAACAAGGUGGCGGGCAUACACAAGUACGUACCCCAGGCGAUGUUGCCCACAGAGUACGGAGGGACAGGCGGGUCGGUGGCCGAGAUCGCUGCAUACUGGCUGCAGAAGAUGGACGAUCACCGUGCUUGGUUCCUCGAGGACGAGAAACACUGCGCUGAUGAGGCCAGACGUCCAGGCAAGCCAAAGACGACGUCCAACAUCUUCGGAGAGGUUGACGGAUCCUUUAAGAAACUCGACUUCGACUAAAUACCUUUAUAUCGACUAGAAAUCUCAGGCCGCCUAACUUUAAGUAAAGCUCAACCCACCAACAUUGCUUACAUGCAGUAUAUUUGACAUUUUUGUGUUUAUUCAUCUUGAAAGAGGCCAAGUUAUAACUUGUAUAGUGAGUUACUCCGUCGUUGGUGAGAGCUAGCUGUCCAAAGAGUUCGUCAGAGUGUUAUUCUGGCCAUCUGGAAAGUUAGCUGAUUUGGCGAUCGUGAGUGUUUGCUGAUCUGGCGAGCGUGAGUGUGUGUUGUUCUGGCGAUCAUGAGUGUUUUUCUUCUAUCCUCGAGAUUUUACUUCUUAAUUCUAGUCCCUAUUAUAUAUUUGAAGAGAAUCUUGGUUCUGUAGCCCUCCUCCCUCUCACAAGGCUCAUUCUCUUAGGUAUAUUCAAUUAGAAAAUGGUAAUGUUACCCAGAAUUGCUGUGAUGUCCAAGGUUAUGAGCCACACGGUACAUGGGUGGUUCACGACCCACACUGUACAUGGGUGGUUCACGACCCACACUGUACAUGGGUGGUUCACGACCCACACUGUACAUGGGUGGUUCACGACCCACACUGUACGUGGGUGGUUCACGACCCACACUGUACGUGGGUGGUUCACGACCCACACUGUACGUGGGUGGUUCACGACCCACACUGUACGUGGGUGGUUCACGACCCACACUGUACAUGGGUGGUUCACGACCCACACUGUACGUGGGUGGUUCCUGACCCACACUGUACGUGGGUGGUGUACCAAAGCUGUCAGUCGUAAUUUCCCCCAUUAAUAGAGCAGAGAGAAAGUUGGGAUAUUCUCAAGAAUGUCUGGUGAAGCUCUUUACCAGUGCUUCGUGUAUCUGCUCUGGUGAAGUGUCUAUUGACCCAUUAUUCAGUUCAUAACUGUUAAUUAUUUAUUUAGUUAAUUAUUGCCAGUGACUGAGAUUCUAGCUGAUAGGAUGUACCUUGGUUUAAUUUACUUGUUAAAUAAACUCAUUUAAGUUGUGA
This is a non-coding RNA of Procambarus clarkii (red swamp crayfish), 1272 nucleotides long. Lineage: Eukaryota; Metazoa; Arthropoda; Malacostraca; Decapoda; Cambaridae. The record is from RefSeq and is a predicted model, not a curated record.